This 461-nucleotide ribosomal RNA is filed under the name uncultured Desulfovibrio sp. RNAcentral describes it as "bacterial SSU rRNA". It matches the Rfam family "Bacterial small subunit ribosomal RNA", at positions 925 to 1382 of the family's 1533-position model. Lineage: Bacteria; Pseudomonadati; Thermodesulfobacteriota; Desulfovibrionia; Desulfovibrionales; Desulfovibrionaceae. The record is from RNAcentral.
ACAAGCGGUGGAGUAUGUGGUUUAAUUCGACGCAACGCGCAGAACCUUACCUAGACUUGACAUCCCGGGGAUUUUCUGGAAACAGAGAAGUGCUUUAGCAAUAAAGAACCCGGUGACAGGUGCUGCAUGGCUGUCGUCAGCUCGUGUCGUGAGAUGUUGGGUUAAGUCCCGCAACGAGCGCAACCCUCGCCUUUAGUUGCCAGCAUUCAGUUGGGCACUCUAGAGGGACUGCCGGUGUCAAACCGGAGGAAGGUGGGAUGACGUCAAGUCCUCAUGGCCUUUAUGUCUAGGGCUACACACGUACUACAAUGGCCGGUACAAAGGGCAGCCACUCAGCGAUGAGGCGCUAAUCCCAUAAAGCCGGUCUCAGUCCGGAUCGCAGUCUGCAACUCGACUGCGUGAAGUUGGAAUCGCUAGUAAUCGUAGAUCAGCAUGCUACGGUGAAUACGUUCCCGGGCCUU